This 32-nucleotide transfer RNA is filed under the name Carex deweyana. RNAcentral describes it as "partial tRNA-Phe". The record is from RNAcentral. Lineage: Eukaryota; Viridiplantae; Streptophyta; Magnoliopsida; Poales; Cyperaceae.
GUCGGGAUAGCUCAGUCGGUAGANCAGAGGAC